UUAAAUCGGUGCUCUAGCGGGUGGGGCAGACCCUGGGCUAGCAGGCCCCAGGGAGAACUCCAAUGGCGUCUGUGUCAGCACACCCACACUGGGCCACAACAAUGGCCGCCGCCAAUGUCCCAGUCCCUGGAGAGGUCUCACUCCUCACCAAGAUGCACUCAGGGCCUAUUAGGUGCCAUCAUUGGGUCCAGUGGGGAAAUGGUCAGAUACCUGCAAUAAGCUGAAGAGUAAAGCCCUGGAAAGGAGGGGAACAGAGGCUGGGCGAGUUGACCCUGCUGAGGAUGUUCAUACUUCUGUUUAAUGGAGACAAAGACCAGCUUUACUGAUGUUUCAGCAAUCCAUGAAGAAAGUAAGAGAUGCAUCAGUAGUAACCUACACAAGUUAAGCCAACAUGAAUAGUCCAUGAGAAGACAAGUUGAAAUGCAACCAUUCUGCAUUUGCCAGCUGCUCAGGAGCCGUGAACUCCUCCUAGGUCAUCAGAGAAGCUACACAAAGCAAUAAGCCUCUGACUUGUUUCGCUUAAAUUCAGGCUACUCCUUUUGUGAGAAGACUGUAGGGAACAACCUGCCUCUCUGCUGGCAGCAAUGAAGUGAGAUGGAAAAGCCAGCGCGGUGUGUGGACAGAUGGAGCCUCAGGUAUCUGGAGCUGUGGGUACAGACAAUGAUUUCUAUUGAAGAGAACAGAGGAUUAAAACCUUCCACCAUUUUCUGCUAGCUCUGAGCAUUUCUUUUCCGAAAAGUUUUCAUUCUAGUUCAUAGAGCAUGUUCACAAAUUAUUUUUUUUAAGGGUUGGUUAUAGGGAAAGGUCAAUCUUGAAUAUUUCCCUCUAGUAAUAGGUUUGGGAUAGCAACCUGCCUCUGCCUGUUGCUGUCAUUCUUCUGAGAGAGAAGUUUGCAAAAUCGUCCUGAGGAGCAGGACCUCGAAUGCAAAAUCAGUCUGGUAGAAGAUCCUUCUCCAUUGCUCCCUGGAAGCACAUCCACGGAAUGGCAUUGGAAAACUGCCACUGGAGGGCAUUAGACAUCAUUUAAUUUGCUACAUCAUGACUUUUGACCUCUGCAUUCAUUCCACCUGGGUCACUAGCUUAUUCCCAUUACCAUCAUCAGACAUUUAUCGAUCUAUCGCUAGGUGCAGGAAACAGUGGUAGGUUUGUAGAUUCAAGGCGAUCCUCUAAAGGGCUCACAGUCUAGUUGGAACACAUAUAUAAAAAGAUAAAGAACAGCUACAAUAGGUUCAAAUCAGAGUUGCACACUCUAUCGAAAAGCCAAGACAACAAAGCUUUCUGGGGCAGUGAGUAUUUUGCAAAAGCAACAAGGACCCUCCUAAGAAGUAAACCACACCGUCACAGAGUUUUGCACACUCUGCUGUCAUAAGUCUCACCUCUUCUUGGGUAACCAUAGGAGGGAGCCAACUUUUUCAUUACUAAAAGGUAUCUGUCGAGCAAUUAGGAGGCACCCAAUUUAUACCUUCUUAGGGAUUGCUCCACCGAUUUCUCCCCAAAUUUAUUCCUACAGACCACAAGCUAUAAGCUAUUUUCUAAGCUUGUAAAUAAAAUAACAUGUAAACAAAAAAGAAUAUGAUCAAUCAUUCAUUGAGGAAGCAUUAAGCAGCCUUGGCUUUUACCCCUGGCUCGCCUCAGCUCAGUUGGGCAGAGGAUAUUAAAGACGGAGCAACUGGGAGCGAAGCAAUUAGAGGAUGAUUUUCACAUUACAAAGACUCCCAAAGGGUUCCUUCUAGUUCUUCCCUAGAGGAUUUAAAUAUUUAAGUACCGUUUUACAGACAAUUAACUCCUGCAGCUGGAGGAGGAGAAAGGGAUGGAUGUGGGUGGUCAGGAAAAAAGCAGAUUUAAACCUGAAGUGUUCGGAGCCAGUGCCAACAAUAGAUCAAUAAUCCCAAUAACUCUUAUUUAUAGCCUACUCAUA
This is a long non-coding RNA of Diceros bicornis minor, 1918 nucleotides long. RefSeq lists it as uncharacterized. The record is from RefSeq and is a predicted model, not a curated record. NCBI's taxonomy places the organism in Eukaryota, Metazoa, Chordata, Mammalia, Perissodactyla, Rhinocerotidae. The transcript has 3 exons.